UGGGGAAUAUUGCACAAUGGGGGAAACCCUGAUGCAGCCAUGCCGCGUGUGUGAAGAAGGCCUUCGGGUUGUAAAGCACUUUCAGUGGGGAGGAAAGGGUGUUGGCUAAUAUCCAACAUCUGUGACGUUACCCACAGAAGAAGCACCGGCUAACUCCGUGCCAGCAGCCGCGGUAAUACGGAGGGUGCAAGCGUUAAUCGGAAUUACUGGGCGUAAAGCGCACGCAGGCGGUUGGAUAAGUCAGAUGUGAAAGCCCCGGGCUCAACCUGGGAACUGCAUUUGAAACUGUCUGGCUAGAGUCUUGUAGAGGGGGGUAGAAUUCCAGGUGUAGCGGUGAAAUGCGUAGAGAUCUGGAGGAAUACCGGUGGCGAAGGCGGCCCCCUGGACAGAGACUGACGCU
Molecule: ribosomal RNA, 400 nt
Filed under: uncultured bacterium
Lineage: Bacteria
Description: bacterial SSU rRNA
Rfam family: Bacterial small subunit ribosomal RNA
Source: RNAcentral